This 442-nucleotide unclassified non-coding RNA is filed under the name uncultured fungus. Its description in RNAcentral is "partial contains small subunit ribosomal RNA, internal transcribed spacer 1, and 5.8S ribosomal RNA". The stretch from base 1 to 73 matches the Rfam family "Eukaryotic small subunit ribosomal RNA", at positions 1759 to 1831 of the family's 1831-position model. Lineage: Eukaryota; Fungi. The record is from RNAcentral.
ACAAACUUGGUCAUUUAGAGGAAGUAAAAGUCGUAACAAGGUUUCCGUAGGUGAACCUGCGGAAGGAUCAUUACCAAUCUUUUGCGGGAUCCCCGUGAUCUCGCGAAAACUCAGUAUUUAAAACCCAACUCAAUAAAUGUAAACAUACUGUAUCAAUCAUGAAUAUGUAAUUAAAGAUCACUUUCAACAACGGAUCUCUUGGCUCUCAGAGACAGACAAACUUGGUCAUUUAGAGGAAGUAAAAGUCGUAACAAGGUUUCCGUAGGUGAACCUGCGGAAGGAUCAUUACCAAUCUUUUGCGGGAUCCCCGUGAUCUCGCGAAAACUCAGUAUUUAAAACCCAACUCAAUAAAUGUAAACAUACUGUAUCAAUCAUGAAUAUGUAAUUAAAGAUCACUUUCAACAACGGAUCUCUUGGCUCUCGCAUCGAUGAAGAACGCAGC